GUCAUUUUGGAGGGAAGCAACAAAAGAAGCACCAGUUAACCUGUUGACCCAGCGGUGAUAUGAAGAAGUCUGCAUAACCAGUGGAUCUGAUGGUAUGAUCUGACGGGGGGCUGUCAGUGCUGAGUGAACCCCUCGAGCCCAGAUCAGGACAGGAGCACUUUUGAGGAAGGACAGAGACAGGGAUGCUCAUGGAUGGAAGGGAACUGCGUCACAAUAUGGGGAAAAAAUGGUUGCAGGUUCUGGUUCAUGUGGACUUUUUAAAGG
Non-coding RNA from Danio rerio (zebrafish), 264 nucleotides. Lineage: Eukaryota; Metazoa; Chordata; Actinopteri; Cypriniformes; Danionidae. The record is from RefSeq and is a predicted model, not a curated record.